RNAcentral lists this ribosomal RNA (2923 nucleotides) under Klebsiella pneumoniae. RNAcentral's name for it is "23S ribosomal RNA". It matches the Rfam family "Bacterial large subunit ribosomal RNA". Lineage: Bacteria; Pseudomonadati; Pseudomonadota; Gammaproteobacteria; Enterobacterales; Enterobacteriaceae. The record is from RNAcentral.
GGGUUGUGAGGUUAAGCGACUAAGCGUACACGGUGGAUGCCCUGGCAGUCAGAGGCGAUGAAGGACGUGCUAAUCUGCGAAAAGCGUCGGUAAGGUGAUAUGAACCGUUAUAACCGGCGAUGUCCGAAUGGGGAAACCCAGUGUGAUUCGUCACACUAUCGUUAACUGAAUACAUAGGUUAACGAGGCGAACCGGGGGAACUGAAACAUCUAAGUACCCCGAGGAAAAGAAAUCAACCGAGAUUCCCCCAGUAGCGGCGAGCGAACGGGGAGCAGCCCAGAGUCUGAAUCAGCUUGUGUGUUAGUGGAACGGUCUGGAAAGUCCGACGGUACAGGGUGAUAGUCCCGUACACCAAAAUGCACAGGCUGUGAACUCGAAGAGUAGGGCGGGACACGUGGUAUCCUGUCUGAAUAUGGGGGGACCAUCCUCCAAGGCUAAAUACUCCUGACUGACCGAUAGUGAACCAGUACCGUGAGGGAAAGGCGAAAAGAACCCCGGCGAGGGGAGUGAAAAAGAACCUGAAACCGUGUACGUACAAGCAGUGGGAGCACCUUCGGGUGUGACUGCGUACCUUUUGUAUAAUGGGUCAGCGACUUAUAUUCUGUAGCAAGGUUAACCGUAUAGGGGAGCCGCAGGGAAACCGAGUCUUAACUGGGCGUUAAGUUGCAGGGUAUAGACCCGAAACCCGGUGAUCUAGCCAUGGGCAGGUUGAAGGUUGGGUAACACUAACUGGAGGACCGAACCGACUAAUGUUGAAAAAUUAGCGGAUGACUUGUGGCUGGGGGUGAAAGGCCAAUCAAACCGGGAGAUAGCUGGUUCUCCCCGAAAGCUAUUUAGGUAGCGCCUCGUGAAUUCAUCUUCGGGGGUAGAGCACUGUUUCGGCUAGGGGGUCAUCCCGACUUACCAACCCGAUGCAAACUACGAAUACCGAAGAAUGUUAUCACGGGAGACACACGGCGGGUGCUAACGUCCGUCGUGAAGAGGGAAACAACCCAGACCGCCAGCUAAGGUCCCAAAGUCAUGGUUAAGUGGGAAACGAUGUGGGAAGGCACAGACAGCCAGGAUGUUGGCUUAGAAGCAGCCAUCAUUUAAAGAAAGCGUAAUAGCUCACUGGUCGAGUCGGCCUGCGCGGAAGAUGUAACGGGGCUAAACCAUGCACCGAAGCUGCGGCAGCGACACUAUGUGUUGUUGGGUAGGGGAGCGUUCUGUAAGCCUGCGAAGGUGUGCUGUGAGGCAUGCUGGAGGUAUCAGAAGUGCGAAUGCUGACAUAAGUAACGAUAAAGCGGGUGAAAAGCCCGCUCGCCGGAAGACCAAGGGUUCCUGUCCAACGUUAAUCGGGGCAGGGUGAGUCGACCCCUAAGGCGAGGCCGAAAGGCGUAGUCGAUGGGAAACAGGUUAAUAUUCCUGUACUUGGUGUUACUGCGAAGGGGGGACGGAGAAGGCUAUGUUAGCCGGGCGACGGUUGUCCCGGUUUAAGCAUGUAGGCUGGUUAUCCAGGCAAAUCCGGAUAAUCAAGGCUGAGGUGUGAUGACGAGGCACUACGGUGCUGAAGUAACAAAUGCCCUGCUUCCAGGAAAAGCCUCUAAGCAUCAGGUAACAUCAAAUCGUACCCCAAACCGACACAGGUGGUCAGGUAGAGAAUACCAAGGCGCUUGAGAGAACUCGGGUGAAGGAACUAGGCAAAAUGGUGCCGUAACUUCGGGAGAAGGCACGCUGGUGUGUAGGUGAAGUCCCUGCGGAUGGAGCUGAGACCAGUCGAAGAUACCAGCUGGCUGCAACUGUUUAUUAAAAACACAGCACUGUGCAAACACGAAAGUGGACGUAUACGGUGUGACGCCUGCCCGGUGCCGGAAGGUUAAUUGAUGGGGUUAUCCGUAAGGAGAAGCUCUUGAUCGAAGCCCCGGUAAACGGCGGCCGUAACUAUAACGGUCCUAAGGUAGCGAAAUUCCUUGUCGGGUAAGUUCCGACCUGCACGAAUGGCGUAAUGAUGGCCAGGCUGUCUCCACCCGAGACUCAGUGAAAUUGAACUCGCUGUGAAGAUGCAGUGUACCCGCGGCAAGACGGAAAGACCCCGUGAACCUUUACUAUAGCUUGACACUGAACAUUGAGCCUUGAUGUGUAGGAUAGGUGGGAGGCUUUGAAGCGUGGACGCCAGUCUGCGUGGAGCCAACCUUGAAAUACCACCCUUUAAUGUUUGAUGUUCUAACGUUGGCCCCUGACCGGGGUUGCGGACAGUGUCUGGUGGGUAGUUUGACUGGGGCGGUCUCCUCCCAAAGCGUAACGGAGGAGCACGAAGGUUAGCUAAUCCUGGUCGGACAUCAGGAGGUUAGUGCAAUGGCAUAAGCUAGCUUGACUGCGAGCGUGACGGCGCGAGCAGGUGCGAAAGCAGGUCAUAGUGAUCCGGUGGUUCUGAAUGGAAGGGCCAUCGCUCAACGGAUAAAAGGUACUCCGGGGAUAACAGGCUGAUACCGCCCAAGAGUUCAUAUCGACGGCGGUGUUUGGCACCUCGAUGUCGGCUCAUCACAUCCUGGGGCUGAAGUAGGUCCCAAGGGUAUGGCUGUUCGCCAUUUAAAGUGGUACGCGAGCUGGGUUUAGAACGUCGUGAGACAGUUCGGUCCCUAUCUGCCGUGGGCGCUGGAGAAUUGAGGGGGGCUGCUCCUAGUACGAGAGGACCGGAGUGGACGCAUCACUGGUGUUCGGGUUGUCAUGCCAAUGGCACUGCCCGGUAGCUAAAUGCGGAAGAGAUAAGUGCUGAAAGCAUCUAAGCACGAAACUUGCCCCGAGAUGAGUUCUCCCUGAGACUUUAAGUCUCCUGAAGGAACGUUGAAGACGACGACGUUGAUAGGCCGGGUGUGUAAGCGCAGCGAUGCGUUGAGCUAACCGGUACUAAUGAACCGUGAGGCUUAACCUUACAACGCCGAAG